RNAcentral lists this transfer RNA (72 nucleotides) under Camelus bactrianus (Bactrian camel). It matches the Rfam family "tRNA". Rfam says of the family: Transfer RNA (tRNA) molecules are approximately 80 nucleotides in length. The record is from Rfam by way of RNAcentral. Lineage: Eukaryota; Metazoa; Chordata; Mammalia; Artiodactyla; Camelidae. RNAcentral also lists the same sequence under 2 other names.
GAGGGUGUAGCUCAGUCACAGAGUGCAUGCUCAGCACGCAUGAUGUCCUGGGUUCAAUUCCCAGUACCUCCA